Non-coding RNA from Pelobates cultripes (western spadefoot toad), 291 nucleotides. The record is from the annotation of a GenBank genome assembly. Lineage: Eukaryota; Metazoa; Chordata; Amphibia; Anura; Pelobatidae.
CUCACAAGACCACCAUUGUCCAUCUCCACACCUCUUAUAAUGGAAUCCCCCAACAACAACUGCUUUCUAUUAGGCCUCACCAUAGUCUCCAAGCCGGUCUCCACAACACCACUAGCCUCAGUGCCUCUCUCCACAACACCACUAGCCUCAGUGCCUUUCUCCACAACACCACUAGCCUCAGUGCCUCUCUCCACAACACCACUAGCCUCAGUGCCUCUCUCCACAACACCAUUACACUCUGAAAGUGCAGAAAAUGAAUUAUGAAGAGUAACAGACUGUGCAAAAUGCCUU